GGGGAAAAGAAACUAACAAGGAUUCCCCUAGUAACUGCGAGUGAAGCGGGAAAAGCUCAAAUUUAAAAUCUGGCGGUCUUUGGCCGUCCGAGUUGUAGUCUGGAGAAGCGUUUUCCGCGUUGGACCGUGUACAAGUCUCUUGGAACAGAGCGUCAUAGAGGGUGAGAAUCCCGUCUUUGACACGGACUACCAAUGCUUUGUGAUGCGCUCUCAAAGAGUCGCGUUGUUUGGGAAUGCAGCGCAAAAUGGGAGGUGAAUUCCUUCUAAAGCUAAAUAUUGGCGAGAGACCGAUAGCGAACAAGUACCGUGAGGGAAAGAUGAAAAGCACUUUGGAAAGAGAGUUAAACAGUACGUGAAAUUGCUGAAAGGGAAACGCUUGAAGUCAGUCGCGUCGUCCGGAACUCAGCCUUGCUUCGGCUUGGUGCACUUUCCGGAUGACGGGCCAGCAUCGAUUUUGACCGCUGGAAAAGGGCUGGAGGAAUGUGGCACCUUCGGGUGUGUUAUAGCCUUCAGUCGCAUACAGCGGUUGGGAUCGAGGAACGCAGCACGCCUUAUGGCUGGGGUUCGCCCACAUUCGUGCUUAGGAUGCUGGCAUAAUGGCUUUUAAACGACC
Molecule: ribosomal RNA, 613 nt
Filed under: fungal sp.
Lineage: Eukaryota; Fungi
Description: eukaryotic LSU rRNA
Rfam family: Eukaryotic large subunit ribosomal RNA
Source: RNAcentral